ACAAAAGACAAAAAAAACUUGUUUAAAAAAAACAACAAAAAGACCCUGGCAUUCCAUAGGACACCUAUGACUUUUGCUCUGAGAGGACCCUCGUAUAUAAACUUCUGACAGCCAUGUUUUAGUCUCUGUCCUUUGGUGUGAGAUAAGGGUAUGUACGGAGAAGUUGUUCAAGCUUAAAGUCAAAGCAGAGUUCUAAUCCUGUGUGAUGCAUUGCUUGUGUAAAACACAACAAGGACCUUCGUUCGGGUUUCUAUUUCUUUUCACUGCUAGCUGAAAGAAAAUUGCACCAUGUGCACCGGCUUCGCGGUCCGAGCACGUGGGCUGGCAAGGACACAAGAAAUGGAGGCUGACCAAAUGGGGGUUAGUUGAUAAUCAGUUCAUACAACCCGGCUGAUUCUGAAGAACAAAGCAACAAUCAUGAGCAUCAAGAUGGAUGCUGAGUGGCUGAUGGUUAAGUCAGCAGUUAUUAGUUGAUGGCACCUGUUUGGUGAUGUAGCCAUAGACGGAAUGUCUUGCUUCAGAUCAUCUGCUGUUGUCCAUGGGGAUGUUUAGGAAGUGAACUCUGAAUGAAGCCUAAAGCUUCACUGAUCGUCAUUCUGGUUAUAUACAAACUAGAGGACUGUUUCACAAAUCCAGGAUAGCGGAUUAAGCUGGGAUUUCCUGGAUAUCCUGUAUUAAUUAAGCCUCAGUUAAUUGAGGCUUAAUUAAUUGACCCCAACCCAGUGUUACAAGGGUUGGGGUGAUUUAUUUUGGGAAGCUUGCAUGCUCCAGACCAGGCUGGCAGCCAGGCUUGGUUAAGCCUGGAACCUUUUCUGUUCAGUCAGCAGUCACAGCAAUCAGAAACCAAGGAGUUUUGUCCAUGAUUCCGUUUUCUUAUCUGCAUGUACAGUUUUUUUGUUGUUGUUGUUUUUUUAAUUACCCUGCAUUAAAACACCUCUAAUUCAUUUUGGUAUUCAAUCAGGUACUGUUAUUUUUACAGUAUACCAUUAGAAAACACAAUUAUCAAUUUUAAAAUGACCUAUAUGGACUCUGCAUGGGUCAAACUGUGUUUCUGAAGAAACUUUCUAAAGACUGCUGUUCUAUAUGAAACAAAAAUGUAAAUGCCCCAUGUCAAAUAUUGUUGCCAUGUGGAGUUAACUGUAAAUGAGCAUUUGCUGACAUUUUAUUGUACAAAAGUAAUAUUUCUCCUGAUUUUUUAAUCCAACUUGCUGUCAGUGAGCAUUACCCAGUUCAUGGGUGGGGCAUGUCCAGUGGGUGAUCAGACAAAAUGAGCAACAGCUGGAUAAUCCUUGGACUGGGUACAAUAAAAGGCCACCCCAAAAUGGAAAGUUUUGUCACAAGUCAUAAUGCCUCAGAUGUCUCAAGUUAUGCAGGAGCGUGACAUUGGCAUGUUGGAUGUAGCGACUUCCACCAGAGCAGUAGCUGCAUGGCUCAAUGUCCAUUAUCGAACUAUAGGCCGUUUAAGAGUUUGUUUCUAACAGACUGGCCCUCCUGCAAAUCGACCUCAUCACAUGUCAGCCAUGUGUAAAAACUCAGAACAAAAGCAUCACAACUUAAAGGGGCAGUUAACUCCAGGUAAAAUUAAAGACGAUACUUCCCAGAUAUUGCAUAUUGUUAUAUUUUAUUUUGGUCUGUAUAAAUAUCUAGAAUGUGGAACAAAACAGAGUAACAUGAAGGAAUUUGCUGUCAGUUCAACAUGUUAUAAUAUUGACUUUCUCUGUUAAUUUAUUAGGUUAUAGUUUUUUUAAUUUUUUUUAUUUGUGAAAAUCUCAUGAUUAUAAUGCGAAUAAUUGGGAAAUACAUAUUUUAGGCUAGUUACGUAUUCAAUUGAUCUGCUAUUGUUCACUCUAGUAACAGCAAUUUUUCUUUUGUAUGAUAUACUUCAAUUUCUCAUGAAUCUCAAUAAAGAUUUGUUUGUUUGGUGUGA
Gambusia affinis (western mosquitofish) is the source of this 1927-nucleotide long non-coding RNA. RefSeq lists it as uncharacterized. The record is from RefSeq and is a predicted model, not a curated record. The transcript is spliced from 5 exons. NCBI's taxonomy places the organism in Eukaryota, Metazoa, Chordata, Actinopteri, Cyprinodontiformes, Poeciliidae.